GAACACAGUGAAUAGAGUGUUGGAGGUCUUGUUCUCUGCUUGAAAGACAGCAAGGAUGCAUGAGAAGGUAAAAGUGGAAAUCUACCAUAGGAGCUGCAAUGCAUAGCCUAACUGAGAUACAGAAGGCUGAGGGGCGAGCUCUGGAAAGAAAGGAAAAUACAGUUGUUUGGAAGUUAGAAGCAGAGACUGAAAACCCAUGCUUGGAGAAGAAAGUGACUGUAAAUAUUAUAUUUUAAUUCAUCUAUAAGUUUCUGCAGGUAAAUGUCUGAACAUGGGUUUAAUUUCCAAAGAAGGUUGUCAGUCAUAUAUAGGAUUUGAGCUUCUUAGAGGGGCUCUGCAAUUAUGAUAUGGAAUCGAAGGUGAGAGAAAUCAACAUUUUCUGGACCCAGAAAUUUAGGGGAGUCCGGUACCCACAAGCUCAUAACAAUAUGUUAGGCAGAGUUCAAAAUGUAUCUCUGCAGUGUGCCUUAGGGCUAAACAAGGCAUAAUAACAAGAAAUCUUUGAUCAAAUACCCCACUUUUUUUUUUGGGUAAUAAACACGGGCUAGAAUAGUGGAAGAUUAGGCUUCUUUCUCAGUAAAUACGUUGUCAAGCUACUGAAAGCUAAACAAAAACUGAUUCUGCAAGGACCUCAGACUUCCUUUUGUCCAAGGAUAGCUGAAAAUCUAGGGCAGCUAAUGUCUCAAACCAGGGCUGAGUGGCAUGUCUGAAAUUUGGACACAGUCUUGAAAAAAAUAGGGUGUGGAAACCUUGCUAUUAUGUUCAGUUCAGUUUAUUGAUUAACCAAAAGAUUUUAACCACUAGUAUGAUACAUAUUACUUUGGUUACAAAAGCAUUUCUCAUAAGUUGCAUGCAUUUAUUCCUUGUUUGUUGAAAUCUCAUGGGAAGAUGAAGCUUUUUGCUGUAUUGGAUGUGACUGUUUGUAUUGCAAAUGUUUAAUAUGUAUUUUAGUCAUCCACUAAUCUAUUAGUAAGGCUUAAUCCAAAAGCACACAAUCAACUAAGUGGACUACAAGAUUUGCAUAAAUACACCCAACAUUAAUCCCUGUCUACUAAUUUCACUAAGGAUUGGAUCAGCUCCUCAGUAUACAUUCAAAAUGGGCCAUUUGCAAGUACUGUAAAAUGUUAUUUGCAUCUAAUUCUUUCCUUUUAAAGCACAAACACAGUUGGUGGGACCACACGGUAAGAAUACAUAACAUUUAAUCUAUGCUUUAAAAAUGCUUUUAUGCUAUCUGUAGAUGGCAUCAGUGUUCCGUACAUGAGGAGAGGGCGAUUAGUUAUGCUGGUAAGAUUUACUUCCUUUAAUAAUCAGUCCUGUGUAUUAAGAAUCUGCUUCCCCAUCUUUGGUAUCAGUUUUCUGAAACAGGACAGCAGGUCAUCAUGAGAAAGGAAAUACUGCUUGUAUAUCUUUUUUCUCUCUUUUGAAAUAAACUGCAACCUAUUCCUUAUCAGUCAUAUCAGCAGUUUUCAUCCAGCACUAUGCAAAGAGAGGGGAGUUUUAACAACCUAUUGAUUAUGUAUAUUUGUUUACUAUGGUAUAUUCUCUAUGCACUUUGAUUUCCUAAAUGCUGGAUAAAGAUUUGCAGCUACAGCUAUGGAAACUGCCUGUGCAGAGCAGAAAGAGGUUUGAGAACGCGUGUGUGUGCAUGCUUUUUUGUCUGGGGUCAUGAGUUUGUAUCUGAAGGUAGGGGUUUAAAAACCCUUAGCUCCACUUGCCAAAUUGGGGUGAACCACCCCUGAAUCGGUACUGUGCAGAACCCAUACCUUCCAACAUCUUGACUCCAAAAACUGGGGUGUGUGUCUUCCCAGUCAUGCUCCUGUGAGAAUCAUGUGACCAGUGUGAUAUCACGGAGCCCAAUAGAUGUGUUUUUCGGGGGGGGGCGUGCUCUUGCACAAGAAAGGUGCAUUUGGGGUUCUGAAAAAGUGCUUUUGGGGGGGUAAAAUCUUGGCACAAAAUUGUGGCACCCAAAAUGGCCACCCUGCUCUUGAGUGAAAAAAACAGGAUGUCUUUUUCCCCCUGCACACUUGUGGGAUUUGAGAUCCAGGGUCCACAAAUCAGGUCCAUGGAGGGUGGGCCUGUGUACAGCCCUAAUUUCUAUACACACUUUACCAGUGGCGUAGCGUGGGGGGUGCAGGGGGGGCCGGCCGCACCGGGUGCAACAUCUGGGGGGGGGUGCGCUCGCACUCGCAGCUCUCUGCCCCUACCUGGCUCACUCACCCUCUCUCACUGCAGUGCUGGCUGUGCGAAUCCGAUCCGAGCCGCUGGGUCGCCGCCCACUGUGGAGGGGGUGGGUGCCAGGCGUGCGGUGCGGAGAGAGAGCGAGGGACUAUCUGGGGAGGGACAGUGCAGCGGCCGCCCAGCGCAGCGCUGAGCGCGGGAGAGAACCACACCAGACCAGACCAGGCAGCAGCAAGAAGAAGCUGGCAGCGGCGGCAGGUUAGGGGUUAGGGGGCGCAAAUUACUUGCCUUGCCCCGGGUGCUGACAACCCACGCUACGCCGCUGCACUUUACAUAGUUUGGAGACUCCAAAUUGGCUAGUUUCAUUUUUAAAUGCAAACUGAUUCCCAAGGAUCCCCCAUCCCCCAAAAGCAGAUUUUCAGUGGGGGUUGGGGGUUGUACAGGGAAGCAAGGAGAUAGCAGAAGCUCCAUUAUGUUUUAACUUGUUAGCAACUUUCACAAAAGAAAAGCUAGGACUCGAGCCUCAGUCUAUCUGCAUGUGAUGUGUUUCUGUGAAACUGUUGCAAAGCAGAAAGAACCAAAAUAUUUGUGUGUCUGUCUGUGUGUGGCAGUGCAGUCCUAAACCAUGUUUGCAUAGGAGUCUCAAUGAGUUCAGAGGGGCUUACUUGCAAGAAACUGUGCCUUGGAGGAUUGCAGCCUAACUGGGCGGAGAAAGCACACUCAACAACUGUCAGACAGACAGACAAACAAACAAACAGAUUUCCAGCUAACCUGAGAAAACAAUGGGACAGGUCAAAGGCCGAGAAAUAUCUUUAAUAAUAGCAUUUAAGGGAAUAGUUCAGUUGCUCAGUUUCGUAUUUCAGCAAAACCUUUCCACCUUGCAAGCUUCUAUUUACAAACCUUGGUUUCUCAGCACAUUAAUUAUUCACAAGCAACCUUUAGGUUGGCAAACAAGAGCCUUAUUUACUUGAAGCAAACUGCUGUUCAAAGAGCCCUCCUUUCCGCUGCUAGGCUCCGGCUUGCUUCAGGUUAAACAUUCCCAGCAUUUAACGCCGCUUAUUGCACUUUGCAAAUCAGGAAUGGCCAGUGGAUAGGAUGUGGCUACAAAACUGUCGGCAAGUAAAGCAAACAGCCGCUCAGACACAAAUCACACAUCUUGAAUUGUACAAUUGCAAUUAUUAUUAUUAUUAUUACUCUUAUUAUACCGCACCCAUCUGACUGGGUUGCCCCAGUCACUCUGGGCAGCUUCCAACAUAUACAAGAACAUAAUAGAACAUUAAGCAUUAAAAACUUCUCUACACAGGGCUUCCUUCAGAUGUCUUCUAAAGGUUGCAUAGUUACUUAUUUCCUUGACAUCUGAUGGGAGGGUGUUCCAUAGAGCGGCUGACACUACUGAGAAGGCCCCCUGCCUGGUUCCUUGUAACCUUGCAGUGAGGGAACCAUCAGAAAGUCCUCAGAGCUGGACCUCAGUGUCCAGGCUGAAUGAUGGGGUGGAGAUACUAAGUAUACUGAGCCGAAGCCACUUAGGGCUUUAAAGGUCAGCACCAGCACUUUGAACUGUGCUUGGAAAUGUACUGGGAGCCAAUGUAGAUCUUUCAGGACCAGUGUUAUAUGGUUUCACGGCCACUAGCAGUCACCAGUUUAGCUGCCACAUGUAGUUUCCAAGUUGCCUUCAAAGGUAGCCCCACAUAGAAUGUAUUGCAGUAGUCCAAGAGGGAGAUAACCCCAGCUUAUAGUACCCUGAUGAGACAAUGAGCAGGCAGGUAGGGUCUUAACCGGAGGGCAUUUUCUGCUCUGCCCCAAGUAGCAAAAUGUCUCAGGCCAGCCCUGGAGAAAGGGGAGGCUGCAACCCAUUCCAGACCCACAGCUGAGACACCACACGUGAACUUAAUGUUGGAUCUACGUGAGUUCUGAAAUCAACAAAAAUAAGACCAGUCAACUUGUACUCCAGUUUAUAUCAGGCACUUUGUGUGAUUCACAGAAGCUGUUUUAAGCAAGCAAGAGACAGAUGUUAGCUGUUACUAGCCCAGUUCUGUGCUGGAAGCAGCUCUGAUAUCUCCCUGAAUUUGGGGUGCCUCUUUUUAAAUAGAACAGGAGGCACUUGGUGGAUGAGACCUGAAAGCCUUGGUCGCUGAGGUCACCAGACACCCUCUGGAUAGGGGCCUUAACCUUUUGCAUUAUGGGUGCUAGGUUCCAGCCUCUGUCCCCCAUGUUCCCGGAUAGCUUGGCAGAGUCAAGAUCUGCCCAUCAGGAGCCCAAAUUAUCUUGCAGGAAAGACAGGCAGGGAGAGCCUGGCAGCUUCGCCAGUGUUGUGAAGUAAUAAUAAAUUAGCAGUGCUUGAAGUGUCACCACAGAGCAACCAAUGAAGUUCUGCCAGCCUUCCCUGCUCUCAAGCAAAAAGGAUGCUCUGGGACUAUUCUAGAUUUGUCAUGUGACUGCCAAACAAUCCACAGCUCCCCUCCUCUCAAACCUGGAGCUGGGGAGGAAUUGGGGAUUGCUGCAUAACACCCGGGCAAUCCCCACCAUCUCUUCAGCUUCAAGGUUGAGAGAAGCAUUGGGGGCUAUGAUAACUGUAGUGAAUAAGGAUCACGGAAACAGGAGUAGAAAUUGCUGAUGUUGACUUAUUUGUCCAAUGCCCAGAAUGGAAAUCCCACCAGCAGAUAUGAUCAGUAUUCACUGUUGUUGUUUUCAGCCUGCAAAUGACAAAACUGAUGACUCUACCGCUCCAUUUGCAUUGCAUUUUGCUUGCAUCGAAAUGAAUGGUUUGGAAUAAUGUAAUGAUCACAUAAUUAAUUGUGCAAUUAUUUAUGUAAAAUUCACCCAAGUGGACAGCGAGAUGAAUUAUGUAAAUUUUGUCUGAGGCCGAAUUGCAGCAGAACGGAAACAGCCCUGUAUGUGACAAAUAUGGGGAUGGAUGGAAAUUUAUACCUUCUUACAUUCUUAGUAGGGACGCGGGUGGCGCUGUGGGUAAAACCUCAGUGCCUAGGACUUGCUGAUCGUAAGGUCGGCAGUUCGAAUCCCCACGGCGGGGUGAGCUCCCGUCGUUCGGUCCCAGCUCCUGCCCACCUAGCAGUUUGAAAGCACCCCUAAGUGCAAGUAGAUAAAUAGGUACCGCUUUAUAGCGGGAAGGUAAACGGCGUUUCCGUGUGCGGCACUGGUGCUGGCUCGCCAGUUGCAGCUUCGUCACGCUGGCCACGUGACCCGGAAGUGUCUUCGGACGGCGCUGGCUCCCGGCCUCUUGAGCGAGAUGAGUGCGCAACCCUAGAGUCGGUCACGACUGGCCCGUACGGGCAGGGGUACCUUUACCUUUUACAUUCUUAGUGGCAAAAGCAAACGUGGAAAUUUGCCAUUGGAACAGGGCCUGUAAUAUUAAAUUCUCCAAUUUUUAAAUAGAUAGUAUAGACUGUGAUUUUAAUAGUGGCUAUUUAUGGUAAAUGAUAUGACUAUAAAAGCUUUUAACUGCAUGCAUGCACCAAUGUUUUGAGCAUUUCUACAUUCAUACUAAUUGUUAUACAGUAAAUUGCUGCAUUAUGUAAUCCUUAUCCUGCAGGCUUUUAGCAAUCAAAUAUAAAGAUACUAAUGAUGAUCUGUGAAAUCUUUUCCUUUGAAAGAAACCUGUUUGUUGGAAUCCAUGCAUAUGUAAGAACAGUCAUCCUACAGCUUUGAACCAUCCAAUCUGAUUCUAAGAAUUGCUUUCCUCUCAGUUUAUGAAAAUUCCCACUUCUCUCAUUUUGCCCAACCACCACUUUGAUGUAUCAAAUCAUUAAACAGCUGCCUCUGC
Molecule: long non-coding RNA, 5959 nt
Filed under: Podarcis lilfordi (Lilford's wall lizard)
Lineage: Eukaryota; Metazoa; Chordata; Lepidosauria; Squamata; Lacertidae
Source: RNAcentral